Molecule: ribosomal RNA, 700 nt
Filed under: Candidatus Kuenenia sp. enrichment culture clone EN2
Lineage: Bacteria; Pseudomonadati; Planctomycetota; Candidatus Brocadiia; Candidatus Brocadiales; Candidatus Brocadiaceae
Also listed under: 3 other names
Description: bacterial SSU rRNA
Rfam family: Bacterial small subunit ribosomal RNA
Source: RNAcentral
GGAUUAGGCAUGCAAGUCGAACGAGGAAGUGCCCCGUAAGGGGCGCAAGCCUAGUGGCGAAAGGGUGAGUAAUGCAUUGAUAACCUGCCUUUGAGAUGGGAAUAACUGCGUUUCGAGCAAUCGGAACUACCGAAAGGGCUGCUAAUACCCAAUAAUACUAUAGGUGCAAAAGCACUUGUGGUCAAAUGCUAGGAAUUCUGUUCCUUGUGCUUAAAGAGGGGUUAAUGUCCUAUCAGCUAGUUGGUGGGGUAAUGGCCUACCAAGGCAAAGACGGGUAGCCGGCUUGAGAGGGUGGUCGGCCACACUGGGACUGAGACACUGCCCAGACUCCUACGGGAGGCUGCAGUCGAGAAUCUUUCGCAAUGCCCGAAAGGGUGACGAAGCGACGCCGCGUGUGGGAAGAAGGCCUUCGGGUUGUAAACCACUGUCGGGAGUUAGGAAAUGCAGGUGCGUUAAUAGCGCACUUGCUUGACUAAGGCUCCAGAGGAAGCCACGGCUAACUCUGUGCCAGCAGCCGCGGUAAUACAGAGGCGGCAAGCGUUGUUCGGAAUUAUUGGGCGUAAAGAGCACGUAGGCGGCCUUGCAAGUCAGUUGUGAAAGCCUUCCGCUUAACGGAAGAACGGCAUCUGAUACUACAGGGCUUGAGUACGGGAGGGGAGAGUGGAACUUCUGGUGGAGCGGUGAAAUGCGUAGAUAUCAG